This 508-nucleotide ribosomal RNA is filed under the name uncultured bacterium. RNAcentral's name for it is "partial 16S ribosomal RNA". It matches the Rfam family "Bacterial small subunit ribosomal RNA", at positions 28 to 507 of the family's 1533-position model. The record is from RNAcentral.
GACGAACGCUGGCGGCGUGCCUAAUACAUGCAAGUCGAACGCUUCUUUCCUCCCGAGUGCUUGCACUCCAUUGGAAAGAGGAGUGGCGGACGGGUGAGUAACACGUGGGUAACCUACCCAUCAGAGGGGGAUAACACUUGGAAACAGGUGCUAAUACCGCAUAACAGUUUACGCCGCAUGGCAUAAGAGUGAAAGGCGCUUUCGGGUGUCGCUGAUGGAUGGACCCGCGGUGCAUUAGCUAGUUGGUGAGGUAACGGCUCACCAAGGCCACGAUGCAUAGCCGACCUGAGAGGGUGAUCGGCCACACUGGGACUGAGACACGGCCCAGACUCCUACGGGAGGCAGCAGUAGGGAAUCUUCGGCAAUGGACGAAAGUCUGACCGAGCAACGCCGCGUGAGUGAAGAAGGUUUUCGGAUCGUAAAACUCUGUUGUUAGAGAAGAACAAGGACGUUAGUAACUGAACGUCCCCUGACGGUAUCUAACCAGAAAGCCACGGCUAACUACGUG